GAUCCUUGGCUCAGAUUGGACGCUGGCGGCAUGCCUUACACAUGCAAGUCGAACGGCAGCACGGGGGCAACCCUGGUGGCGAGUGGCGAACGGGUGAGUAAUACAUCGGAACGUGUCCUGUAGUGGGGGAUAGCCCGGCGAAAGCCGGAUUAAUACCGCAUACGAUCUACGGAAGAAAGCGGGGGAUCGCAAGACCUCGCGCUAUAGGGGCGGCCGAUGGCAGAUUAGCUAGUUGGUGGGGUAAAGGCCUACCAAGGCGACGAUCUGUAGCUGGUCUGAGAGGACGACCAGCCACACUGGGACUGAGACACGGCCCAGACUCCUACGGGAGGCAGCAGUGGGGAAUUUUGGACAAUGGGGGAAACCCUGAUCCAGCAAUGCCGCGUGUGUGAAGAAGGCCUUCGGGUUGUAAAGCACUUUUGUCCGGAAAGAAAACCUUUGGGCUAAUACCCUGAGGGGAUGACGGUACC
RNAcentral lists this ribosomal RNA (470 nucleotides) under bacterium PN25. RNAcentral describes it as "bacterial SSU rRNA". It matches the Rfam family "Bacterial small subunit ribosomal RNA", at positions 15 to 479 of the family's 1533-position model. The record is from RNAcentral.